GACGAACGCUGGCGGCGUGCUUAAUACAUGCAAGUCGAACGGACAGGCGCUGCUCUUGUGGGUUGCUCGUUUGGCGAACGGGUGUGUAACACGUGAGUAUACUGCCCCUGUAUUAGGGGUAACUCCUGGAAACUGCGGCUCAUAUACCAUAGGAGCUCCUGCUGCACGGUGGUCGUUGGAAAAUUUCGGCGGUUCGGGAUCGUCUCGCAGCUUAUCCGCUACUUUGUGAGGUAGUUGCUUUCCCAGCUUUCGACGGAUACCCGGCCUGAGAGAGGGAACGGCCACCUUGGGACUGAGGUAGGGCGCAGAAGGCUACGUGAGGCAGCAGUGGGGAAUAUUGCACAGUGGGCGGAAGCCUGAUGCAGCAGCGCCGCGUGCGGGAUAACGGGCUUCGGGUUGUAAACAACUUUCGACUGUAACGUAGCGGGAGUGACGGUAAUUAAUAAAGAAGCACCGGCUAACUACGUG
RNAcentral lists this ribosomal RNA (468 nucleotides) under uncultured bacterium. RNAcentral describes it as "partial 16S ribosomal RNA". It matches the Rfam family "Bacterial small subunit ribosomal RNA", at positions 28 to 507 of the family's 1533-position model. The record is from RNAcentral.